RNAcentral lists this ribosomal RNA (497 nucleotides) under uncultured bacterium. RNAcentral describes it as "partial 16S ribosomal RNA". It matches the Rfam family "Bacterial small subunit ribosomal RNA", at positions 28 to 507 of the family's 1533-position model. The record is from RNAcentral.
GACGAACGCUGGCGGCGUGCCUAAUACAUGCAAGUUGAGCGAUGAAGAUUGGUGCUUGCACCAAUUUGAAGAGCAGCGAACGGGUGAGUAACGCGUGGGGAAUCUGCCUUUGAGCGGGGGACAACAUUUGGAAACGAAUGCUAAUACCGCAUAAUAACUUUAAACAUAAGUUUUAAGUUUGAAAGAUGCAAUUGCAUCACUCAAAGAUGAUCCCGCGUUGUAUUAGCUAGUUGGUGAGGUAAAGGCUCACCAAGGCGAUGAUACAUAGCCGACCUGAGAGGGUGAUCGGCCACAUUGGGGCUGAGACACGGCCCAAACUCCUACGGGAGGCAGCAGUAGGGAAUCUUCGGCAAUGGACGAAAGUCUGACCGAGCAACGCCGCGUGAGUGAAGAAGGUUGUCGGAUCGUAAAACUCUGUUGGUAGAGAAGAACGUUGGUGAGAGUGGAAAGCUCAUCAAGUGACGGUAACUACCCAGAAAGGGACGGCUAACUACGUG